This 7205-nucleotide long non-coding RNA is filed under the name Triticum aestivum (bread wheat). Its description in RNAcentral is "long non-coding RNA (TAES_LNC004608)". Lineage: Eukaryota; Viridiplantae; Streptophyta; Magnoliopsida; Poales; Poaceae. The record is from RNAcentral.
UUUUUUUUUUUUUUUUGCAAUUCCCCGUACGAGGUUCCUAAUUGGCUUGCUUGGUGUAUACCUUCAACGAGCUCCAGGGAGAUAGCAAAGAGCUACCGACCAAAGUCACUGUCCAAACGAGUUAAUUAAAGUCAGUGUCCUCGGCAUGUUUUCAACCAUCGACUACAACAGCACGAUGCCGACUAAUCGUCUCCGGCGUAUGUGCGGCCUAUAUCAUGGCACGAACCGCCGUGACAUGGCUUCAGCCACUACCGCUCGCUUCUUCUUCUUCCAUGCUAGCUCGGCCGUCACAGCUGACGUCUGUGCUCGCUCAAAGUUUUCUUCGUUUCUUCUUCGUACUUCUCCAUCAGCCCCACCUUCAGCCGUACUCCCGUUUACCAGUUUGUAUAGCGGCAGUGCUUUAUAUACGCUUACAAAAUGUACAUUGCACACGUCCCGAGUUCCUGAUCACUAGCUGCUGGUCGCAAUGGCAGCGUCUCCAGCAAGCAAGUACUACUGCACAGUUCCUUCUUUGCUUAAAAUUACUCUGCUGCCGCGCGCGAUCACUAGAUGGAUCUUCUACUCUAUGAUCGCUCGCUCAUCGCUCUAUGAAAACUCUGUAGGUUUGCACAGGAAGAGGAAGCUCUCCCGCCUACCUUGACACCCACUUCCCAGCAGCCACCUCUCUACGAUGGCGCAACCAGGUUGUGUUAUUACUACUAGUACUUUGCUUUCUUCUCUGAAACUUUCUUUACUCAAAUAUGUGCAAGCGCACGCGAGAUCUUCAUGUUCAUGUUCAUUUCUGAUACAUCGAUCUCUGCGUAUUUACCUUUGCUCACGUGUGACAAGUUGGGAUUACAGGUUGUACAUGGCGUAUGCUUGCCCGUAUGCGCAGCGAGCAUGGAUCGCGAGGAACUGCAAGGUACCAACCGAGCUCAUCUUCCGAUGAUCGAUGCUCUUUUUCCCUCCACAUGAGUUGGUGUCUUCUUUGGUUAGGUUCACUCCAUGUUGUGAUUUUUGUAAUUCGAUUUGUUUCCGGUACCAGGGUUUGCAGCGCAAGAUCUUGCUUGUCCCCAUCGAUUUGGCGGAUAGGCCAGCGUGGCUCCGCAAGAUUUACCCCAAGAAUCAGGUGUGGCUAGACUAAAAUACAUAGUGUCUCCUAUUUAGAUGAGUGUUAAGAUGCUCCUUUUUUUUUCCCAACAAGGUACCCUGCCUAGAGCACAACAACAAAAUGAUAGGAGAGAGCUUGGAUUUGAUCAAGUACAUAGACAGCAAUUUCGAAGGCCCCAAAUUGAGUCCUGAUGUGAGUUUAUUUUGUCUUUAAAGGCUGCAAUAGCAUGCACUCCCCAUUGGUCAUUGGUGACCUCAUGAUUCUUCUCUUAAAAAAUAUCGAUGACCUUAGGAUCCUGAAAAGCAAGGGCUUGCAGAAGAACUGCUGGCUUAUUCAGACACCUUCAAUCAAGCGAUGAUGUCGGCAUUGACCGCCAAGGGGGCAGUGACUGCUGAUGCUGGCAAGAGCUAAGAACACUUGUAAUAAUUCAACUAUAAAUAUAUAUUCAUGCUGAUUACUGACCUGUGAUGCAUUGCUGGUCAUCAGAAGCUGCUCUGGACAAAAUAGAAGUCUCCCUUUCAAAAUUUGAUGAUGGACCUUUCUUUCUUGGCCAGUUCAGUCUGGUAAUUUUGCACUCAGUGUCCCUUAUAUCAGCUAGAAUUUGGCAAUUUAAAGAACUAACGUCGCUUGGAACUGGAAACAGGUGGACAUCGCAUAUGCACCAUUUGUUGAUGGAUUCCAAGUAUUCUUCACCAACAUAAAGAACUACGAUCCCACCGCAGGAAGGCCUAACAUGCAGAAAUUCAUCAAGGUAGCAAGAACACGAUAUCUUUCAGGAGUGUAGCGUUUUGGAGCUUGGGCUCCAUGAAGCCUGAUAUUUCAAAAUUCAACUUUUAAUUUUUUUUAAAAAAAUGAAAAAGUACACGUUUACAUAGGGAUGUAUUCUACAUGUUUUAAAAUUUUCAUGAUGAAAUACGUUAAGAUGUGAGCUUCAAAAAAAUCAUGGAUUUUUAUAGUGAAUAAUGCAUGUGCUAAAAAUCCAUGAUUUUUUUGUGUAGCUCAAAUCUUGAACACAUUUUAUCAUGAAUAUGUACAAACAUGUAGAGUACAUUUCCGUGUACAUGUGUAUUUUUUCUUGAAACUUUUUAAACUUCGAAGAAUGUUUUUUGAAUUAAGAGCUCCAUGGAGCCCAAAUGCAAUUUCCGCAUCUUUCAGUGUCUAUGUAUAGUAACUUACUCAUGAGAACGGGAAACAUGUGUAGGAAAUGAAUGGCAUUGCGGUGUAUGCGCAGACCAAGCACGACCCUCAAGAACUGCUUGCUCUCACAAAGAAGAAGCUCGGGGUAAGGCGUUCUAGCAACGAUUAACUAUGUAUCAAUGCUAUAAAGACGAUGAUCUCGCGCCCGAAAUACGAGCUCCGUCCAGACAUACAAGCUAAGGAUUUUGAUUGGUUAAGAAUGAUAGAAAUACUUUUACUAGUAUGUAGUUUUAGCGUGGCACACCAAAUGGAGAUCAUUGGACUCUUAUUUUAAAAUACUUACUACACCGUUCAUUAAUAUAAAAUGUUUUGGCAGUUUAAAUUAGACUGCCAAAACGUCUUACAUUUAAGAACAGAGGUAGUACUAAUUAUGAUUUUAUAUCACAUAAAACGUUUAUCAAAGUCUUGUCUUAACCAAUUAAAGUACACUAUGCUAGUGGUGUGAGAGGAGGUUUAACCUGCUCAUCCACGAGUGUUUUAGCCAUAUCAUAGGACUAAUUUUUAUAACAUGUUCUUUUUACGAUCAUAAAGGAUUUUCCCCCGAUCUCAUUAAGGAAGUCAUUGUAGUAGUACUCCUUCCGUCCAAGUAAUCCAGGACGGAGGUAAUAUUACUUAUACAGGACUAAACAAGUCGUGGUGACAUCUGCUGUUUUUACGUGCAGAUAUAAGGGUUUUCCCUUGGAUUUGGAUCGGCCGAUGACCGAUGAAGCAUUGCCAAUGUAUGCGUGCAGAUAUAAGGGUUUUUCCUUGGAUUUGAAUCGGCCGAUGACUGAUGAAGCAUUGCCAAUGUAUGCUGCGAGCGCAAUCAAUUGCUAUGUACUGUAACGCAGUAAAUAAAACUACUCCCUCCGUUCCGAAAUACAUGACGUUUUACGUCUGCAUGUUGAAAUCUCGUAACGCUACGAAAUAUUCGCGUUUUCCAUUUUUACCCUCGACCGCAUCGCUCUCAGUCUCUCUCAGUCUCCCUCGCCCGUAUCGCUCUCUGCUUCUCUCCCACCGCAUCUCCCUCGCCCAUGGCGCCGCCGCAUCUCCCUCGCCCGCGUCGCCGCGUAUCUCCCUCGCCUGCGUAGCAGCCGCAUCUCCCUCGCCUGCGUCGCUGCAUCUCCCUUAACCGCGUCGCCGCUGCCCUCUUUCUCUCGCGUCGUCCCUGCUUCGUCGUCCCAAGAUUCGAUUUUUACCGCCGGAGGAGCUGCUCGAGUAGGAGGAGCUGCGGGAAGAGAAACUGUGGCGGUGAGGAGCUGCCGGAUCUGUGCGGCUGUGGGGAGCUGCCGGAUCUGUGCGGCUGUGGGGAGUUGCUGCAUCUGUGCGGCUGUGACGAGGAGCAGUAGGCGAUGCCGAGCGCCGACGUGCCGAAGGAAAGGAGGAUGGUGAGCAGCUGGACCCACGACGGCACCUCCGCCCCGCCCCCGCGCUUGAGCGCGUCGUACACCAUCUGACGCCGAAGGAUGCGGUCGAACACCACCUGCGGCAGCUUGUCGUCGCCGCGGCUGCCGCCGUCCUCCUCCUUGCGCGCGGCCUCCAUGAGCGACUCCUUGAGGAGCAGCUGCUGCGUCAGGUGGCAAGAGGAUGGACAUGGUGGCCCGGCUGUGCGUCCAUGGAUGAUGACUCCUUGAGUAUUGCUCUAUCUUCCUCUUACUGUCUCUUCUCCGUGAAAACUUAAUGUCAGAUGCUAGGAGUAGUGCUAGGAGUAGGGCUAGCAAAUGGAGAUUCUUGUGAUCUUGUCUACUGCUAGGAGUAGUGCUAGGAAAUGUUACGGAUGCUAAUGUCAGAUGUGAGGCCUUAAUGGCCUACCAAGCUCUCUGUAAUCAACCAAGCAGCAGCAGCACUCCAACAUUUCUUCAGAGGUUUACUGUCGAUGGUCGAUUGUUUUGCUUCAGUUGUCGUUCAAUUCAGAGUUCCAAUCCUCUGUUGUGCUUAUAGGGCAACGCUGACGGUGGUGCUUGUGGUGCCCGACGCUGAUGCCAUGCUCGUGGUGCCCAACGCCUGCUGCUUCAGUCAUUCAUUCAGAGGAGUAUCAUAUGCUGAUGUGGAAUUGCAUGUUUUGGAGUCUUGUUUGGAGUUAAGUGAGGCUCUUUCUACUGUACUCCAACAUCUGUGAGCUUAGUAGGGUUCACAGUAGGACUGAUUUUACUACUCAUCUUGCAAUAGUACUGUUGUUUCCUCACCAACAUCUGUGCUACUGUAGUUUUGGUUAAAUUUGCAAUGAGCUAAUGGAGUAUUGUACUCCUCUUGCAGCAGUACUGUACUGUACUCAUCUUACAGUACUUAGUGAGUACUCCAACAUUACUUACUGAUGUUUCUCUCCAUUUUAACUGAAACUUUAAUUUAAAUUUUAAAAUUAACUGAAGCUAGUACAAAGAACACACGACACUAGUUAUAUUUGUGCUUCCAUUUAUUUGGAGAGGCACCUGUUUGUUCACAUAUCAAAUUUAUUUGAAGUACUACAGGAAAUGCUUGCUGCCAUAAGUAUCCCAUAGUAAUGCCCCAUAGCUGGCGGUCCAUGCGGCGGUCUGAAAUUGUACUUGCUGAAAUUUCUUGUUUGCACUGCUUGCUGAAAUUUCUUGCUAGGAAAUGCUAGGAGUAGAUAGGAGUAUUUCAUGUUGUACUUGUUCAAAUUCUUGAUUGCUUACAAUUUCUUCAGGUUUUAGCAAGUUUUCAGUUAAUUAAAAACUGAAAGCUUUUCUGUUAAUUAGGGAGGAUAGCAGUAGUAUAGCACUGCAGCAGGAGUACUAAAUUAGGAGUAGUAUAGCACUGCAGCAGGAGUAGUAAGCUACUCUUACUGUUCAUUUUCAGAAACUAGAGUUAUAUUUGAAGUUCAGUCUUAUGACCGGCAAAUCCCAGAGGAAGACCUGACGUGAUCAAGUGCUCCGUUAGCUAAUACUCUUAUUCUAAGACAUGAAAUUCAUUCAUUGGCCUUUUUUAUCAACAUUAUCCAUGGUCUAGGAAACAAUUUAUGACCUGAUCUUAGAACUUGAAUAUGGCAUCAAGUCCCAGGGAAUGUGUGGGUUUAGAAAAUCAAUUUUCACACACGUUUAAUACCAAACUUUGUUGUUAAACAUUGUUAAUACCAAAUGGAUUUUUUAAUUGCUCAACACUUGCUAGCUACUCCAUUAUAGGGGUACAAAUGAACUAUUGAUUGUUCAUGGCAGGAGUACUGGAGCUCACCAACUGCAUCUUGACCGGGAUCGAUGCCCUCUUCCUCUUCCAUGUUCAUAUCAUCUUGGAGUAUGUCUUCUUCUUCGGCUGGAGUGCAGUUGAGAUCAAAAUCCAUGCCUCUGCCUUGACUAUGUCUAUUUCCUUUUUCAGUUGCUGCCUGUUCUGAAGUUGGUGCAAUGGAGCUUGGAGCUCCACCUGCUGGACCUGGAGCCUAUUCAGGUACUGCCACGGUAUAAGUUCAUGCAACAUCAAGCACUAUAGUACUCCAACAUCAUGCAAUAGUACUCUUGUCAUGAAAAUGAUGUUGCAUGACGUUGUAAAAGUGAUUCUGCCCCUGUAGUACUUCAUCAUGCAGCUGUACUCCAACAUCAUGUUAUUUUGUUAAUGAUACUCCAACAUCAUGCAAUUGUUUCAGUAGUAUUGUUUUUUGUUAAUGAUACUCCAACAUCAUUGGAGUACUGCACUUUUACUCCAAUGCAGUGCUGAUUUUUUGAAUCCUCCCAACAUCAUGCUCCAGUACUGAAUUUUGUCAUGCUAAAUUUGCAACUGAAUUGCCCCUUUUUGGACCUGUUGAACGACCAGGACCUGAAGUCAGCGGCGAUCUGCAGUACCUGGAGGUGGAGCUGGCGAGGCCUUGGGAGGGUGGCGGCAAUCUGCAGCAGGGCGCUGGCCUUGGGAUGACGAGGUGGGGGAUCUGCUGGCCCAGGACGAUGAGGGGGAUCUGCUGGCCCAGGAAGAUGGGGAGGAUGGAAGGGGAUCUGUGGGGCGAGAUGGGAGGCGAUGGAGGUGGAGGUGGAGGAUCUGGAGGUGGGGGGCGACAGAGGCGGGGGCGAUGGAGGUGGAGGAUCCAGAGGUGGGGGGCGACGGAGGCAGGCGGAUCUGGAAGACGACCUGGGUGGAGACGAGGAGAGAAUUCAAAACUGGAGGGUAACCUGGUCAUUUCGCUGCUUUUUCACCUGGUCGGAAAAAACCCCAGCGUCAUGUAUUCGGAACGGAGGGAGUAAUACGCACCAUCACGCGUACUACUAUUCGUACAACAAAUUACGUCGAAUAAACAACAAAUUGACUUGCCUGGGUGCCAAGUUGUUCUUGCAAUUCGCAGACGCUCCUACUAUUCCCCGUUGUUUCCGUUUCAUAACGUUCGUUGGAAUACUGAGCCAAUGAAAAACAUAAGUACGUAUUUCUUUGCAUGCAUUCUCCACAUAUCUUCUCAGCACAGCAUACGCACGUUAAUGCCCAGGAUAUCAGUAUAUAGAACCAAAUGGAAGAUGAAACAACCUCAAAAUUUCCCUAGCCCAACAAUGCAUGUAUUUUUAAGCAACACGCAGUUCAAACGCACCAGAAAUCCAGCUGCAAUGGCUGCAACUUUUGGUUUUCUACAGCAACUUCAGCAACAUAAUGAUACAACCAUGGUGCCAGCAAGAAAGUGGUGUGUAUUAACAUUUAUUAGAUUAACUCGUUUAGCUACUUCUGUCGUCGCAGGAAAACCUGCAACCUAAGCACAAGCACAAGGUCCAGGUUGACAACGAAAAUGGUACAAUAAAGUGGCAGAGAAAACCCAUAAUAAAUCAGGUUGAAUGGAUGGAGUGUACACAUCUCUAUCACAUGCGCCAAUAGGCUUCAGAUCCUAGGUUGAUUGGAAGGAGGUGACACACACAUGAUAAGACCUGAAAGAUUACUGAAUAACCCGCACGGUAACAGGAUUGUUCAGACAGAAACCCUUGUUUUUAGCAAUGAAGGCAUUGGUUGCAUCAGUCCUCGA